AUACGGAAGGUCCGGGCGUUAUCCGGAUUUAUUGGGUUUAAAGGGAGCGCAGGCGGAGAUGCAAGCGUGACGUCAAAUUUCGGGGCUCAACCCCGUCUCGCGUCGCGAACUGCGUCCCUUGGUUGCGGGAAGGGGAGGCGGAACUCGUGGUGGAGCUGGGAAAUGCAUAGAUAUCACGAAGAACUCCGAUCGCGAAGGCAGCCUUCCGGCCCGUCAACGACGCUCAUGCUCGAAGGUGCGGGUAUCAAACAGGAUUAGAUACCCUGGUAGUCCGCACAGUAAACGAUGGACACCCGCGGUUUGGCCUGUAUGGCUGAGCCGCCAAGCGAAAGCGUUAAGUGUCCCACCUGGGGAGUACGCCGGCAACGGUGAAACUCAAAUGAAUUGACGGGG
RNAcentral lists this ribosomal RNA (393 nucleotides) under uncultured bacterium. RNAcentral's name for it is "partial 16S ribosomal RNA". It matches the Rfam family "Bacterial small subunit ribosomal RNA", at positions 523 to 918 of the family's 1533-position model. The record is from RNAcentral.